This 524-nucleotide ribosomal RNA is filed under the name uncultured bacterium. RNAcentral describes it as "bacterial SSU rRNA". It matches the Rfam family "Bacterial small subunit ribosomal RNA", at positions 775 to 1286 of the family's 1533-position model. The record is from RNAcentral.
AGUCAAUAGAUACCCGGGUAGUCUUGGCUGUAAACGGUGCGCAUUUGCUGUAAACGGAAUCGACCCCGUUUGUGGCGAAAGCUAAACGCGAUAAAUGCGCCGCCUGGGAAGUACGGUCGCAAGAUUAAAACUCAAAGAAAUUGACGGGGGCCUGCACAAGCGGUGGAGUAUGUGGCUUAAUUCGAUGCAACGCGAAGAACCUUACCUGGCCUUGACAUGCAUUUAGUAGAACCAUGAAAGUGGGACGAUCCCGCAAGGGAAGGAUGCACAGGUGCUGCAUGGCUGUCGUCAGCUCGUGUCGUGAGAUGUUGGGUUUAAGUCCCGCAACGAGCGCAACCCUUGUGUCCUGUUGCCACUCCUACGAGAGUAGGAAGCACUCUGGACAGACUGCCUCGCUUAAACGAGGAGGAAGGUGGGGAUGACGUCAGUCAGUAUGGCCCUUACGGCCAGGGCUGCACACGUACUACAAUGCGCGGCACAGAAGGAAGCUAGACCGUCAGGUGGAGCAAAUCCCGAAAACCGCG